UCCACGCCCUAAACGAUGCACACUAGUUGUUGCUAUGCUAGACAUAGCAGUAAUGCAGUUAACACAUUAAGUGUGCCGCCUGGGGAGUACGGUCGCAAGAUUAAAACUCAAAGGAAUAGACGGGGACCCGCACAAGCGGUGGAGCAUGUGGUUUAAUUCGACGAUACGCGAAGAACCUUACCUGGCCUUGACAUAGUAAGAACCUAAUAGAGAUAUAAGGGUGCUAGUUUAC
Molecule: ribosomal RNA, 232 nt
Filed under: uncultured bacterium
Lineage: Bacteria
Description: partial 16S ribosomal RNA
Rfam family: Bacterial small subunit ribosomal RNA
Source: RNAcentral